CGCUGGCGGCGUGCCUAACACAUGCAAGUCGAGCGGGGACAUGCGACGGAUAGGAAGAUUCGGUUGGACUUGAAGAUGCAUUGUUCUAGCGGCGGACGGGUGAGUAACGCGUGAGCAACCUGUCCCUUACAGGGGGAUAACACAGCGAAAGUUGUACUAAUACCGCAUAAGACCACGGGAGGACAUCCUUCAGGGGUCAAAGGAGGAAUCCGGUAAGGGGUGGGCUCGCGUCCGAUUAGAUAGUUGGUGAGGUAACGGCCCACCAAGUCGACGAUCGGUAGCCGACCUGAGAGGGUGAUCGGCCACAUUGGGACUGAGACACGGCCCAAACUCCUACGGGAGGCAGCAGUGGGGAAUAUUGGGCAAUGGGGGAAACCCUGACCCAGCAACGCCGCGUGAGGGAAGAAGGUUUUCGGAUCGUAAACCUCCGUCCUUGGUGAAGAGGAAGAGACGGUAGCCAAGGAGGAAGCCCCGGCUAACUACGUGCCAGCAGCCGC
RNAcentral lists this ribosomal RNA (497 nucleotides) under uncultured bacterium. RNAcentral describes it as "bacterial SSU rRNA". It matches the Rfam family "Bacterial small subunit ribosomal RNA", at positions 34 to 518 of the family's 1533-position model. The record is from RNAcentral.